CUACGGGAGGCUGCAGUGGGGAAUAUUGCACAAUGGAGGAAACUCUGAUGCAGCAACGCCGCGUGGAGGAUGACACUUUUCGGAGCGUAAACUCCUUUUAUAUAGGAAGAAGAUGACGGUACUAUAUGAAUAAGCGCCGGCUAACUCCGUGCCAGCAGCCGCGGUAAUACGGGGGGCGCAAGCGUUACUCGGAAUCACUGGGCGUAAAGAGCGUGUAGGCGGAUUAAAAAGUCAGAAGUGAAAUCCUAUAGCUUAACUAUAGAACUGCUUCUGAAACUCUUAAUCUAGAAUAUGGGAGAGGUAGAUGGAAUUUCUGGUGUAGGGGUAAAAUCCGUAGAGAUCAGAAGGAAUACCGAUUGCGAAGGCGAUCUACUAGAACAUUAUUGACGCUGAGACGCGAAAGCGUGGGGAGCAAACAGGAUGAGAUACCCCAGUAGUC
RNAcentral lists this ribosomal RNA (439 nucleotides) under uncultured bacterium. RNAcentral describes it as "partial 16S ribosomal RNA". It matches the Rfam family "Bacterial small subunit ribosomal RNA", at positions 339 to 795 of the family's 1533-position model. The record is from RNAcentral.